Molecule: ribosomal RNA, 301 nt
Filed under: uncultured bacterium
Lineage: Bacteria
Description: partial 16S ribosomal RNA
Rfam family: Bacterial small subunit ribosomal RNA
Source: RNAcentral
CAGUCGCCGCGGUAAUACGAAGGUCCCGAGCGUUGUUCGGAAUCACUGGGCGUAAAGCGUGCGCAGGCGGUUAUGUAAGACAGUUGUGAAAUCCCCGGGCUCAACCUGGGAACUGCAUCUGUGACUGCAUAGCUAGAGUACGGUAGAGGGGGAUGGAAUUCCGCGUGUAGCAGUGAAAUGCGUAGAUAUGCGGAGGAACACCGAUGGCGAAGGCAAUCCCCUGGACCUGUACUGACGCUCAUGCACGAAAGCGUGGGGAGCAAACAGGAUUAGAUACCCCCGUAGUCCCUGUCUCUUAUAC